GGACCAGCGUGGUUGAGGUCGCCUGAGGCCAGUGAGUAGACGGGAAGAAGCGCCGACGAGAGAUGGUCGCCAGAGAGGGCUCAAGCGCCGGCUCGUGUGAAGGCAGGCUGACGGCGCAUGAAGGUGCGUGUAUAGGAGUCAUUCGCCGAUGGUCGGUGGAGAGGGCGAUCCUGGGCCACAGACUCUUAGAAAGUGAUCGGAAAAAGAGGGAAAGUUCCUCCAUGUGAGAACUUUGUUUCAGAUUUUAAAUCAGAUCCACCAAGGGCUCUACUAUCAUGUGAAAAAUAGAACAAAAGAAGAAAA
Molecule: unclassified non-coding RNA, 303 nt
Filed under: Hevea brasiliensis (rubber tree)
Lineage: Eukaryota; Viridiplantae; Streptophyta; Magnoliopsida; Malpighiales; Euphorbiaceae
Source: RNAcentral